Molecule: long non-coding RNA, 3300 nt
Organism: Phacochoerus africanus (Common warthog)
Lineage: Eukaryota; Metazoa; Chordata; Mammalia; Artiodactyla; Suidae
Exons: 2
Source: RefSeq, a predicted model, not a curated record
GAACUAUUUCUCCUUCAAGGUCUCUGGCUGUACAGUGUGCCCCCCUCCACCCCCAUUAUCUCUUCAAGCUUCCCUUGCCAGGCUUGUCCUGGCCCAGCCCUCUGCUUUCCAGCAGUGAUUAGGCAACUGCCCUUUGCAAUGGCUGGAGGGCACGCCCUGAUGGUUGCCCAGGGCUCCUGGCCUCACCUGGCCCGAGUCCUGCAAAAGCCCUUUCCAGGGUCCUGAGGAGCUCCCUCCUCUGCUCCCAGGCCAGGUGGUGCUCCCCCAUCAGCCCCCUGACUCCCUGGACAAGAGGGGUCCUUUCCUACUGGCUCCUCCAGUUUGGCUUCAUUUGGAAACUGCUCUCCUGCUUGACUCACCAGAUGUGCGGCCUUAGCCUGUGCCAUCCUGGACUUGAACCACAGGCUGUCAUUGAACACCCUGUGCAUGUGGGGUCACCUGUCUCCAGCAGCAUGCGCUGGGUUCUGUCUCUGGGGUUGGUCCUGGGACCCUUCCCUCAGACUUUGUACAGUCAACCAACUCCUGGUGGUCAGGUCUCUAAAAUUCCCCAUUCUUUCCACCGUAUCUUCUUUCCAGACCUUCGUGGGCCAAGAUGCUCCCUUGAGAUUGAAGGGGAAUAGCUAUUUAAGCAGGGUUCUGCCCAACAUAGAUGCUCAGUUAGUGGGUGGAUGGUUCUUAUCUUGAGCAACGCCACAUUUCCUCUGCCCUCAACACUUUCAAGGUGGCUCAUGUGACCUCUCCCUGGACCAGCCGCUCAGGUGCCAAUCACUUUCUUAGGCACAACUGCACCUCCCUUGGGACAAUGGGAGCAAAGCCCAUCACAUCAGUGGGCCCCUGCUGCUUACAAGUUCAUCAGCUUCCCAACCUGGCAGAAAGGAGCUGGUCCUUGAAGAAAUCUUCUACAGCUAAAAUCUUUAGUAAUUUUAGCAUGAGUCACCCAACUUGGCCUUUUUCUACCCACCCCCAUGAAUUCACUUUACAUGCUUGCUCUGAGUAGGCCAGAGAGGACCUCCCCAAGAGGUAGACACACCUCCGAGGACAUCCCAAAUAUGAGGUGAGAUUUAUCCUUAUUCAGAGACUUUUAACAUCUGGAUAGCGGAUCUCCCAGGGUAAACUGCUCCAGGGGAUGCUCCUGGCCCCUCCCUCUUCUGCCAGCAUCUCUGGGUCUGGGUUUUGGAUUCCCUCCACCCCCCACGUGGCCAGUGCUGGUCCCCAGUGCUGGUUCUCCACCCCCACCCCGGCCCCCUGGCCUAGGGAGCACAGCCCCUGCUCCUCAGCGAAGAGAUGAUGCUUAAGGAUGAAACAUACACCAACACGUGCAUUUCCUGAGACUAGAGACGAUGCACUGCCUGCUUUACGAUGAACUAGCUCUUUGACUAAGGAGAUUUUUUUUUUUCUUUCUUUUCUGUUCUCCAGACCAUCCUCUUCCUUUCGGGUGCUUUUCACACCAAGACAUGGAAAUCACAGGGUAUGGGCAGUAUUUUUUCCCUUUAGAAAUCCUUUUUCAGGCAACUAUGUCAAGAAUGUUUUCAUACUUUGGGUUGGAUAGGGAGGGAGGAGGACACAAAAAAAGGCUUCAUCCCCCCAGAUGGGUAUUUCUCUGAAAACAGACAUGCAAAUGUUGGGCUUGUCAAACCCUAAAAUGUUUUCUUUCUUCUUGAGGACUGUGGCAUAUGGCCUGCUGGAGAUCUAGGGAAAGGAAGGAGCCUCGGUGGUUGGUGGAGAAGUGUGGGAAAGGGCGGGCGGAGGCACGUGCCAGGCUUCUGCUGUGUGGCAAGGACACUAACCAAUGUGCAUCCUGGAACUGCAUGGGCCCACCCUUGACUGAUAAAGACAGGAACCUACAGGUAAAUGCUUCCUCCUUUCGACCCUUGGGUGAGCAGUUCUGAGAUGCUUUUCAUAAAGCCCUUUGGGAGUUUCCAAGGAUUGGAGCACUGGGUCCCCAAGUGCAUGUUGCCACAGUCAUGCAUCCUUGGUGAGGCUCUCCCUUCUUCCCUGUUCCCCUUGCAACAGAACCUCCCUCCUGCCUCCAGGAGGGACCAUUACCCAAAUGAAUACCUGAUGGAGACCUUUCUUUCCAGCUCUGCUUUUGGAGGGAACUGCUAAGACAAUAUGCUUGAAUGGAACAGCUGCUCCUCUCACACUUGCUCAAGAGGGUAUGCCCUGUCCAGUCUCCCAGAGCUGUGUGGAGCUCAUGAGGCCAGGGCUAGCAGGUGGUAGGGAGUCCCAGGACUUGCAGAGGGACUCACUGCGGUGGACAAGUCUGUCUUGGGGUCUUGGCUGAGGAUGCUUCCCGGUCUAAUUAAAGACAGAUGAAGUCGGGGGUUGAGGGGGAGUUGCCAGGCCCUUGGGGACAUCAAGGGCCCUGCUCAUUUAGUCGCUUAAGUCCCCUGACUCUGGUCGGCUUCCCUCAGAGCAUGCCCACUGUAUGAAUACCAGAACAGAUGGCUUUCUGAUGAACUUAAUUACAUCAUUAGCAACUGGGCUACAAAAAUGGGUGAUUUGAGAGCGGCUGGGAAGCUGGAAGCCUUGCGGCCCCACGGCCGGGCAGCUGUUCCCGGGGCUGGCUGAACAUGCCUUUGCAGUGGGCUCCUUCCCAACCCCCACCCAGGCUGCCCCGUCACACCUCCUAUAGGCUGAGCUGUGCUCUCUGAUCCUGAGGCUUUCCCAACAGCCAUUCCCAGAACAGAUGGAAACGGAUCUCUUGGGGACCUCCAGCUGAUGCGGAUUUCACAGUGGGCGGAAGCAAGUGAGAGGGAGCAGAUAAGCCACCCCUUCCCACGGCCACUCGGGAGGCCACACUGGUUGUUCAGCUGUCCACCCUCAUUCCUUGUGCAACGGGUAGGGCUUGAAGUGGGGGGGGAUCCAUUUCAGGGGAGGUGAGCCUGGAAGCUAGGAAUAUGACAUGUCCCAGUCCCUUACGCUUUUAAACCUGAGCUCCAAGGAGCCGCAGGGGGCCAGAGACCCCUGAUCAUCCCUGCUGCAGCCAGCGCGGAGUUUCUUUCCAGCUUCAUUGGCGAGCACUGCUGCAGAAAAAGCUAGACCAGUCGUGAGUCCCUGAAAGCUCCCUCCCCCUCCUCUCACUUCCUGUCUUGUAGCCUCAGCUUUUUGCUGUCAUCCCAGUCUCCUUUCUGUGCAAGCACGGCUACCUCAUUCCUCAGAUGCCACUUUCUCCCGGCAGCUCUCCCCUUCUGCCUCCCCUCCCCCCAGUUUUAGCCGCAAUCCAGCCCUCCUUCCUCCGCGGUCUCCAAGCGUGUGUCCCGCAAAAAUACACCAGUCACUUUAUGCCCUCGAUCAUAA